GAUGAACGCUGGCGGCGUGCCUAAUACAUGCAAGUCGAGCGAACAGACGAGGAGCUUGCUCCUCUGACGUUAGCGGCGGACGGGUGAGUAACACGUGGAUAACCUACCUAUAAGACGUGGAUAACAUCGGGAAACCGGAGCUAAUACCAGAAAAUAUAUUGAACGGCAUAGUGCAAUAGUGAAUGACACCUUUGCUGUCACUUUGAGCUGGAUCCGCGCCGCAUUAGCUAGUUGGUAAGGUAACGGCUUACCAAGGCAACGAUGCGUAGCCGACCUGAGAGGGUGAUCGGCCACACUGGAACUGAGACACGGUCCAGACUCCUAAGGGAGGCAGCAGUAGGGAAUCUUGCGCAAUGGGCGAAAGCCUGACGGAGCAACGCCGCGUGAGUGAUGAAGGUCUUCGGAUCGUAAAACUCUGUUAUUAGGGAAGAAAAAAUGUGUAAGUAACUAUGAACGUCUUGACGGUACCCAAUCAGAAAGCCACGGCUAACUACGUG
Molecule: ribosomal RNA, 497 nt
Filed under: uncultured bacterium
Lineage: Bacteria
Description: partial 16S ribosomal RNA
Rfam family: Bacterial small subunit ribosomal RNA
Source: RNAcentral